AACGAACGCUAGCGGCAUGCCUAACACAUGCAAGUCGAACGAGACCUUCGGGUCUAGUGGCGCACGGGUGCGUAACGCGUGGGAACCUGCCCUUAGGUUCGGAAUAACUCCCCGAAAGGGGUGCUAAUACCGGAUAAUGUCUUCGGACCAAAGAUUUAUCGCCUUUGGAUGGGCCCGCGUUGGAUUAGCUAGUUGGUAGGGUAAAAGCCUACCAAGGCGACGAUCCAUAGCUGGUCUGCGAGGAUGAUCAGCCACCCUGGGACUGAGACACGGCCCAGACUCCUACGGGAGGCAGCAGUGGGGAAUAUUGGAAAAUGGGCGAAAGCCUGAUCCAGCAAUGCCGCGUGAGUGAUGAAGGCCUUAGGGUUGUAAAGCUCUUUUACCCGGGAUGAUAAUGACAGUACCGGGAGAAUAAGCUCCGGCUAACUCCGUG
This 433-nucleotide ribosomal RNA is filed under the name uncultured bacterium. RNAcentral describes it as "partial 16S ribosomal RNA". It matches the Rfam family "Bacterial small subunit ribosomal RNA", at positions 29 to 507 of the family's 1533-position model. The record is from RNAcentral.